Molecule: long non-coding RNA, 409 nt
Organism: Falco peregrinus (peregrine falcon)
Lineage: Eukaryota; Metazoa; Chordata; Aves; Falconiformes; Falconidae
Exons: 4
Source: RefSeq, a predicted model, not a curated record
CGGCCCGGCCCGGCCCGGCCCGCCGCCCUGCGCCUGGGAGCCCGCAGAGGCAGCCCGGGGCCGCCGGUCGCAGUUUCCCCGGGGGUGGCAAGGUUCGAUCUCCCCCUCGCCAGGAACAGCGAGCUGGAGCUGCAGGAGGCAUGCAAAGCGGCUGCGACAACAAAAUUUUGACUGGCUUGAAUGGAAUCCUUAAUGAAUGAGUUGGAAAAAAGCCUUGCUAGGUGGAGAGGAAGAAACAAAUUUAAAGCUACCUUCAACUUCCCCUUCACUGACAAAGUCCUGCAUUUGACCUUGAAAUGGGGCACCCUUCAGAGAUCCUCACAAAUUCCUCCAGCUGUUCCGUAACCAGUACCAGUGCCAUAGCCAACCCCUGUAGUUUCUUCAACACCAGAAGCUACUACUCCUCCUC